GAUGAACGCUAGCGGCAGGCCUAACACAUGCAAGUCGAGGGGUAACAUAGGAGAGCUUGCUCUUUUGAUGACGACCGGCGCACGGGUGAGUAACGCGUAUACAAUCUACCUUGUACAGGAGUAUAGCCCAGGGAAACUUGGAUUAAUCCUCCAUAGUCUAUAUAAAUAGCCUUAUUAAUAUAGUAAAGAUUUAUCGGUACAAGAUGAGUAUGCGUCCUAUUAGUCUGUUGGUAAGGUAACGGCUUACCAAAACUACGAUAGGUAGGGGCCCUGAGAGGGGGAUCCCCCACACUGGUACUGAGACACGGACCAGACUCCUACGGGAGGUAGCAGUGAGGAAUAUUGGACAAUGGGUGAGAGCCUGAUCCAGCCAUGCCGCGUGCAGGAAGACGGCCCUAUGGGUUGUAAACUGCUUUUAUACGGGAAGAAACCUCCCCUCGUGAGGGGAGCUGACGGUACCGUAAGAAUAAGGACCGGCUAACUCCGUGCCAGCAGCCGCCGAGUAAAC
RNAcentral lists this ribosomal RNA (508 nucleotides) under uncultured bacterium. RNAcentral describes it as "bacterial SSU rRNA". It matches the Rfam family "Bacterial small subunit ribosomal RNA", at positions 28 to 526 of the family's 1533-position model. The record is from RNAcentral.